CCUUAGAGUUUGAUCCUGGCUCAGGAUGAACGCUAGCUACAGGCUUAACACAUGCAAGUCGAGGGGAAACGACAUCGAAAGCUUGCUUUUGAUGGGCGUCGACCGGCGCACGGGUGAGUAACGCGUAUCCAACCUGCCCACCACUUGGGGAUAACCUUGCGAAAGUAAGACUAAUACCCAAUGAUAUCUCUAGAAGACAUCUGAAAGAGAUUAAAGAUUUAUCGGUGAUGGAUGGGGAUGCGUCUGAUUAGCUUGUUGGCGGGGUAACGGCCCACCAAGGCGACGAUCAGUAGGGGUUCUGAGAGGAAGGUCCCCCACAUUGGAACUGAGACACGGUCCAAACUCCUACGGGAGGCAGCAGUGAGGAAUAUUGGUCAAUGGGCGAGAGCCUGAACCAGCCAAGUAGCGUGCAGGAUGACGGCCCUAUGGGUUGUAAACUGCUUUUAUAAGGGAAUAAAGUGAGUCUCGUGAGACUUUUUGCAUGUACCUUAUGAAUAAGGACCGGCUAAUUCCGUGCCAGCAGCCGCGGUAAUACGGAAGGUCCGGGCGUUAUCCGGAUUUAUUGGGUUUAAAGGGAGCGUAGGCCGGAGAUUAAGCGUGUUGUGAAAUGUAGAUGCUCAACAUCUGAACUGCAGCGCGAACUGGUUUCCUUGAGUACGCACAAAGUGGGCGGAAUUCGUGGUGUAGCGGUGAAAUGCUUAGAUAUCACGAAGAACUCCGAUUGCGAAGGCAGCUCACUGGAGCGCAACUGACGCUGAAGCUCGAAAGUGCGGGUAUCGAACAGGAUUAGAUACCCUGGUAGUCCGCACGGUAAACGAUGGAUGCCCGCUGUUGGUCUGAAUAGGUCAGCGGCC
RNAcentral lists this ribosomal RNA (854 nucleotides) under uncultured bacterium. Its description in RNAcentral is "bacterial SSU rRNA". It matches the Rfam family "Bacterial small subunit ribosomal RNA", at positions 1 to 848 of the family's 1533-position model. The record is from RNAcentral.